UACGGGGGGGGCAAGCGUUGUUCGGAAUUACUGGGCGUAAAGGGCGCGUAGGCGGCCUGCUAAGUCGGACGUGAAAUCCCUCGGCUCAACCGGGGAACUGCGUCCGAUACUGGUGGGCUCGAAUCCGGGAGAGGGAUGUGGAAUUCCAGGUGUAGCGGUGAAAUGCGUAGAUAUCUGGAGGAACACCAAUGGCGAAGGCAGCUCGCUGGGACGUUACCGACGCUGAGACGCGAAAGCGUGGGGAGCAAACAGG
RNAcentral lists this ribosomal RNA (253 nucleotides) under uncultured bacterium. RNAcentral's name for it is "partial 16S ribosomal RNA". It matches the Rfam family "Bacterial small subunit ribosomal RNA", at positions 524 to 776 of the family's 1533-position model. The record is from RNAcentral.